ACACAAAUAUAUCUUAGUCAAGUACUUACGAGGUUGGAAAAGAAUCUUAGGUGAAGGAGAAGUUUCAAGUCUCUCACAGUCACAGAUAAUAAGAGUUUUAGGAUCCUAUAUCUUCUCUAGCCAGCAGACUCUAUGUUGUGUCUCCAGAGGUCACACUUACUGUGGAAGCUCCACCAGAAGCUGUUUGAUACUGUGGAGAGAGAGGCAUUCUCUUCUGGAAAGGAUGCUACUUUGUAAGACAUAUUAUUUGGAAUCAGCAUUUUUAUUGUAUCAUAGUCUGCUUAAAAAAUAGAUCACAUGUAACACCAUAUGGAACUAAAUGAGAGUUGUUUGAAUUGGGUCAGUUCAUGGGUUCUGAUGCAAUGGACAGAGGGCCAGAUUUGAAGUAAAGCCUGGAUACAAACAUAGCUCUUCCAUUUAUGCACUGGUAACUAUAGGUGAGUCCUUCACUUUCUCUGAUCCUCUUUCCUCAUCAAUAAAGUCAGGAAUUUAACACAGGGAAUUAUUAACAUGGCCUUCAGAGCUAAUGCCUCAUAAAUUUAUUAUUUUAAGCAUUAUGAAAUGAAAUAGCAUUCAUAAAAGCAGCACAAACUGCUAAAAAAAAGGUUUGUUUAUAACCAUUUCAUGAAUUAAUCAAUAUGAAACUCUCAAAAAGAAACACGUUUACACAAUUUGUUUGAAUUAAUUCUCCAUUUUGAAGGUAAAACUGAGUAUUUAUGGAAUCACCCUGUUGAUAUUUCUUCUAAGAUUUUCAAAUGGGGUUGAAGAAAACCCAGCUUAAAUUUCAAAUGGGGUUGAAAAAAACCCAGCUUAAAUGGGUAGCCUCCAUUGUUCAUUUAUUUUAUUGGGUUUAUAAAAGUUGAAGACAUGAAGGUAGAAUGUUAGAAAGUAAAAUCUCAAUGUAUCUAUAUUAUAGCUGAUCACCACUAAAUUUUCAGACAUCUAAAAAAACCUACUUCCUUCCUAUAUUACUUGACCACAAACAGUGUAAUAAGCCUGAUUUAAAGGCCCUUUCCCUCUAAAAGUAUUAUUUUCAAUGUUCACCAAGACUGAGUUUUAUGAGUAAAAUUUUCUCCCCUCCAAUGUCAAAGGAACUCAGUGGUAAGAGUAUAAAGUGACUAAACAGUUUUAGCCCUAUCCUUCUUAUGAAAUAGCUUUGUGACCUUAGGCUAAUCACGUCACCUCUCUGAGCUUCCAAGUUCUAAUUUUCUAACAAUGAAGUGCCAGGGAGAUGAGAAUAAACAACUUCAACGGCCUUUCCAUGCCCAAAGACACUGCAGCAGAGCCGUCUAUGAAUGACAGAUGAAAUGCCUUAGAGUCUUAGUUCCAAACCACCUCCCCGGACAGUCGGAAAUCCCACUGGCUGGAGGAAUAAAUAAAUUCCUUAUCUUGUCAAGGAAGCUCCUCCCAAGCUACAAAAGUUGCAGACAGCAAAGGGAUCAAGUGACCCCAGAGAUGAAAUCUGUGACUCUCUGGUGGAGCAACAUGAUAGUAAUAAACAAAGGUUGAGUGCCUGCUGUAUAAAGCAACCUCUGGAGUGCCUGAUAUCUACUAACUCUUUUAGCACCCACUCGACCCUGUGAGAUGCGUAUUACUUUAUUGUAUCUACCACUGUAAAAAAGAAUGAACCAAGCUACAGCAAUAUUAUGUUGCUUGCCCUGAGUCACACAGCUGAGUAAGUCACAGGAGUUUGUGCUCAUAAUGACUUUGCUAUGCUGAUGUUUGAACCUGGAACCAUUCAGCAACCCUCCAGCUAAUAUGGCUCCAUGCUCUACUUCUGGAAAAGCUGAGUUCCUGCAGCCUUGUCCUACAUCACCCAAAAGAGCUGGAAAAGAAUGCAGUGAGUUCCAUUCUAUUUGUUCCGAGAAUAGGAAAGCCACAUUGAAGCAAUAUCUUAAAGAGAAAUCUAUAGUUAGGAGUGAUGAAGAUUUGAAACAGAUGUCAGCAGAAAGAAAAAGGGAGAGGCACCAUGAUAAUUAUACUCAGUGAUGCUUUUUAAAUGACAUAUAUUCAGUUAAAUAUAGGGAGGUUUGCUGCUAGCCAUAUGAACAAAGCACAAGAGAAUUCCUGGAUCAAGGCAGACUUAAAGAGACAUUGAAAAAAAAACAAAAUUCAAAAUUUUGACCUAGUGCAGGAAGAAGUGCAAGUACAGGGGAAGUGGAGGGAAGGAGUGGGGAGGCUGGCACAGAGAUGGCACGGGCAGAUACGAGCAGAUUGACUCGCCAGGACUGUCAUUGGGCCACCGCUCUUAGCAGGAAUUUCACCAUUGAAUGACCUAAUUAUUGUCUUGGGAAAAACACAAGAGCUCCUGUCCAUAACAGGAUAACAGAUGUAUUUCAGUGGAGCACAGAAUAGGCCGGAUGGUGACUAGCAAGAAUAAAAGCCCAAGUGGACUGAAGAAUCCAUCCAAGAUAUGGUCAGGACGGGCUUGUGGAAAACUUGUGCAAUAAUGAGAAGAAAUGUUAUUUGUCACUACCUUUUUUAGGCAGCUGUGUGGAUAAACCUACUUUGGGGUAGGAGCUGAGCCUCAGGCCUGUGACCGCUAGAAGCCAGACUUGAAGCCAGGAAAGAGGCCGCUCUUCCCAGGAGUUGGGAGAAUUUGACUUUGGUGUAGAAUCCAAAAGGCGGGAGAGAGGGUUCCAGGGAGGAGCUGGGGGUGGAGGCUAAAAAAGGAGCCCUGGUUGCCAAAGCCAGGAGGUGACUUUACAGGAGAGCAGCAGUGACUAAGCCAGGAAGUGACUUUGCGGGAGAGCAGCAGUGACUAAUUCAGGAGGUGACUUUGCGGAAGAGCAGCAGUGACUAAGCCAGGAGGUGACUUUGCGGGAAAGCUGCAGUGAUUGUGAAGUUGUUCACAUACAGGGGGUCAUGGGACACCCUCUACGAUCUCCCGUGGGAAAUCCUCAGUAAGCACUCUCACUCUAGCAAUAAGCACUCUCACUCUAGAAAGCCCUUUUGGUGCUUCCAGUCACAUUGCCUGGCCCACGCUCGGUGAGAGCUCACAUGCGCUUCUGGUCCUGGCCUUCUCAGACGCCACAGUAGCUGCCCACCCUGCAAAAGACCUGGAAGGGGAGGGGAGCCUGUGCCACAGCAGCCAGAGGAUGAAUGUCCUGUCAUGAACAAUUCCUGGGGGCACUAUGUACAUUUUGUAGAAGUCCUGCCAGAAUGGAACCUUGCUGUCUACAGCAGCGACCUUGAUAACACAUCAUUUGAUUUUUCCUCCUUUUGUGACUCAUGCUUCUGCUACCUCACCCUGGCUUCCUGAGAUCACCUCCCAGAUGAACUCCCUGCACUGAAUUCUGGUCUCAGUUUGCUUUGGGGAGAACUCAAAACUAAGACAUUCACCACUGUGUUUGUGUGAGCCAAAUCUUCACAUCAUGAGCAGGCGCUAUGUCUGCGUUCAGCCAGACAAACAGCAAACCAGCAACUGCCCACAUGAAUACAGUCCAUGGACAAGAGGAGAGUGAUAGCUGAGCGACUUUGGGACUUGCUGUCAAAGAUACCUGUCUCCCUCUCUUUCAUUCUCUUUACCUUUCCAUCAGACUAUGUGGCUGCCUCAUUCCCCCGUGUCCUGCAAGCAAGGAUAUUAACUAUACAAACAGUCCAGCUUAAAACAAAAUGGGCAGAAUAUUUGAAUAGACACUUCACAAAGGAAGACAAACAAAUUACCAAUAAGUGUGUUAACAAUUCUUAACAUCGUUAGUCAUCAGGGAAGUGGAAAUUAAUACCACAAGGAGAAAUCACUACACACUAAAGUGGCUAAAAUGAAAAAGAGUAAUGACAUCAAAUUCUAAUCUGAGUAUAGAGCAACUGUUGAUGGAAAUAUAAGAUGGUACAGCCACUUUGGAUAUAAUAAAAUGAUGCAACCACUUUGGAAAAGUUUGGCAGCUUUAUGUAAAACUAAGCAAAUACCUUUGGCCCAGCAAUUCCACUCAAGCAAUCCUUCCCUAAAGAAAUAAAAAUAUAUAUCCGCCAAAAGAUUUGUACAAGAA
RNAcentral lists this long non-coding RNA (3989 nucleotides) under Homo sapiens (human). Its description in RNAcentral is "HSALNT0347218". Lineage: Eukaryota; Metazoa; Chordata; Mammalia; Primates; Hominidae. The record is from RNAcentral.